CCUACGGGGGGCUGCAGUGGGGAAUAUUGCGCAAUGGGGGCAACCCUGACGCAGCCAUGCCGCGUGAAUGAAGAAGGCCUUCGGGUUGUAAAGUUCUUUCGGUAGCGAGGAAGGCAUUUAGUUUAAUAGACUAGGUGAUUGACGUUAACUACAGAAGAAGCACCGGCUAACUCCGUGCCAGCAGCCGCGGUAAUACGGAGGGUGCGAGCGUUAAUCGGAAUAACUGGGCGUAAAGGGCACGCAGGCGGUGACUUAAGUGAGGUGUGAAAGCCCCGGGCUUAACCUGGGAAUUGCAUUUCAUACUGGGUCGCUAGAGUACUUUAGGGAGGGGUAGAAUUCCACGUGUAGCGGUGAAAUGCGUAGAGAUGUGGAGGAAUACCGAAGGCGAAGGCAGCCCCUUGGGAAUGUACUGACGCUCAUGUGCGAAAGCGUGGGGAGCAAACAGGAUUAGAUACCCUGGUAGUC
RNAcentral lists this ribosomal RNA (465 nucleotides) under uncultured bacterium. RNAcentral's name for it is "partial 16S ribosomal RNA". It matches the Rfam family "Bacterial small subunit ribosomal RNA", at positions 338 to 795 of the family's 1533-position model. The record is from RNAcentral.